Molecule: ribosomal RNA, 508 nt
Filed under: uncultured bacterium
Lineage: Bacteria
Description: partial 16S ribosomal RNA
Rfam family: Bacterial small subunit ribosomal RNA
Source: RNAcentral
AUUGAACGCUGGCGGCAGGCCUAACACAUGCAAGUCGAGCGGCAGCGGGAAAGUAGCUUGCUACUUUUGCCGGCGAGCGGCGGACGGGUGAGUAAUGCCUGGGGAUUUGCCCAGUCGAGGGGGAUAACUACUGGAAACGGUAGCUAAUACCGCAUACGCCCUACGGGGGAAAGCAGGGGACCUUCGGGCCUUGCGCGAUUGGAUGAACCCAGGUGGGAUUAGCUAGUUGGUGAGGUAACGGCUCACCAAGGCGACGAUCCCUAGCUGGCCUGGGAGGAUGAUCAGCCAAACUGGAACUGAGGCACGGUCCAGACUCCUACGGGAGGCAGCAGUGGGGAAUAUUGCACAAUGGGGGAAACCCUGAUGCAGCCAUGCCGCGUGUGUGAAGAAGGCCUUCGGGUUGUAAAGCACUUUCAGCGAGGAGGAAAGGUCAGUAGCUAAUAUUUGCUGGCUGUGACGUUACUCGCAGAAGAAGCACCGGCUAACUCCGUGCCAGCCGCCGCCGUAA